CGGUAAUUCCAGCUCCAAUAGCGUAUACUAAAGUUGUUGCAGUUAAAAAGCUCGUAGUUGGAUUUCUGCGGGGACGGAGCGGCCGGUCGCAACUUGCGACUCGAGCUAGCGCUUUCCCCGCAUCCUGCCGCGAACCGUGCUACCAUUAGCUUGGUGGCGCUGGGGAUCGGCUCGAUUACUUUGAGAAAAAUAGAGUGUUCAAAGCAGGCCACACGCCUUGAAUAAGUUAGCAUGGAAUGAUGACUAAGGACUUCGGUUCUAUUUUGUUGGUGUUCGGGACUGAAGUAAUGAUUGAUAGGGACAGUUGGGGCGGUCUGUAUUCCAAAGCGAGAGGUGAAAUUCUUAGACCUUCGGAAGACAAACAGCUGCGAAAGCGUUCCGCAAGGAUGUUCCCUUUGAUCAAGAACGAAAGUUGGGGGAUCGAAGACGAUCAGAUACCGUCGUAGUCUCAACUAUAAACUAUACCAGCUAGGGAUCGGUCAACGUUUAAUCAUUCGACUUGAUCGGCACCUUAUGAGAAAUCAAAGCAUCUGGGUUCCGGGGGGAGUAUGGUCGCAAGGCUGAAACUUAAAGGAAUUGACGGAAGGGCACCACCAGCCGUGGAGCCUGUGGCUUAAUUUGACUCAACACGGGAAAACUUACCAGGUCCAGACAUAGUAAGGAUUGACAGAUUGAUAGCUCUUUCUUGAUUCUGUGGGUGGUGGUGCAUGGCCGUUCUUAGUUGGUGGAGUGAUUUGUCUGGUUAAUUCCGUUAACGAACGAGACCCCAGCCUGCUAAAUAGCGCGGUUGAGCUUUGCUCGAUGCGAGCUUCUUAGAGGGACUAUGAUGCGCGAUAGCACAUGGAAGUUUGGGGCAAUAACAGGUCUGUGAUGCCCUUAGAUGCUCUGGGCCGCACACGGGCUACACUGGCGCCUGCAACGAGCAUAUCAGCUGGCCCGAGAGGGUCUUGGCUAAUCUUUUGAACCGACGCCGUGCUUGGGAUUGACCAUUGCAAUUGUUGGUCAUGCAACGAGGAAUGCCUUGUAAACGCGAGUCAUCAGCUCGCAUUGAAUACGUCCCUGCCCUUUGUACACACCGCCCGUCGCUCCUACCGAUGAAUGUUCCGACGAAAUUUUCGGAGAGCGCCAGAGAACGGGGCUCUGCCUUGCAGAUCUGGAGGCUCAAAGUCACUUAAAUCUGAACAUUUCGAGGAAGGAGAAGUCGUAACAAGGUAGCCG
Molecule: ribosomal RNA, 1218 nt
Filed under: uncultured Rhizaria
Lineage: Eukaryota
Description: SSU rRNA
Rfam family: Eukaryotic small subunit ribosomal RNA
Source: RNAcentral